CAGACUGACUUGUCAACUUCUUGAAUUCAGAUAUUUGUUGGUGGCUUGGAUCCUAGUGUUUCAGAUGACAUUUUGAAAUCAGUUUUUGGUCAAUAUGGUGAGUUAGUUCAUGUGAAAAUUCCAGCUGGAAAACGUUGUGGUUUUGUACAGUUUGCUAACAGAGCUUGUCAGGAGCAAGCCUUGUCAAUGUUGAAUGGAACCCAAUUAGGAGGGCAAUACAUUCGACUUUCAUGUGGAGGUAGUCCUUCUAACAAACAGGAUCAGCCUGAUCAAGCUCAAUAUGGAUAUGCACAAGGAUAUGAGGCAUAUGGAUAUGCGCCUCCACCCCAAGACCUGAACAUGUAUUGUGGGGGUUAUCCUGGAUAUGGAAAUUACCAGCAGCCAGGGGCAUACCAACAAACACAGCAGGAGCGUUUUGCCUGGCAUCGCUAAGAUUGCCUAUUCAUUGUUGAAUAGUUUAGUACAUUUCUGGGGAAAUAUUAUUUUGAUUUACUUAUUAUGCUUGUGCAUUGUGUAGUGAUCAGUCUAUGUUGAGAUGUUAGUGUUGGUAUGAUCACUUGAACUUUAGGGUUCGGAUGGUUUUUUAAUGUUGCUGUGUUUGGAGUUAAGAGUAUGAUUUUCUUCUUUUCUUAAUUUUAUAUUUUUGUUUGUAAGAUUGGUUGUGUGUUGAAGCACUAUAGGUUGGGGUUUUAACACGAGCAUAGAGGCUUUCAUUUGAUAAGUUGGUAUAACUGCUGCUUUACUCUUUGAUGUUAUUUGUGUACAAUUUGCUAUUUUAAUUAUCUUAUGUGAUGUGCUUUUAACUUUUUAUAUUGUGCUCUA
Mangifera indica (mango) is the source of this 822-nucleotide long non-coding RNA. RefSeq lists it as uncharacterized. The record is from RefSeq and is a predicted model, not a curated record. The transcript is spliced from 3 exons. NCBI's taxonomy places the organism in Eukaryota, Viridiplantae, Streptophyta, Magnoliopsida, Sapindales, Anacardiaceae.